CACAAAGUUCUUCUUUCGAAUUGAGAGUGAAUCAUUCAAGGCAACAGCUACUUUAGACCCUGUUGAAAUUAAACUGAAAGGUUCUCCUCCGAGGCCCAGAUUAGAAGUCUCAGCUGAUCUGAAGGACCUGAAGGAGAAGGAGUCUGUCACUGUAACCUGCUCAGCUCCCACUCCCUGUUCACACUCCCCUCCUCAACUCACCUGGAGCCUCCAACAAGACGCUCUCAGCCAAACUGAGGAAAACUCAAACAGAACCUUCAGCACUCAGAUCCAGAAGACCCUCACUCUGUCAGACACACAUGAUGGAUUCAACCUCAGCUGCUCUGCUGUGUAUCCUGUUGCUGGAGGAGAACCUGUGAAAACACCUGAGACAGAGUUAACUCUCAGUGUUUCAUAUUCUCCUAAAGACACGACAGUCUCCAUCAGUCCAUCAGGGAGCUGGGUGACCCUGACCUGCUCCAGCAGAGCCAAACCUGCCGUCAGCAGCUUCACCUGGUUCAAGAACAGUGACCAUGGACCCAUCAAAGUGUCUGAAGGAGAAUUUUACACCUUUAAUGUGGCUGACAUAACAGAUCCAGAA
Molecule: long non-coding RNA, 580 nt
Organism: Salarias fasciatus (jewelled blenny)
Lineage: Eukaryota; Metazoa; Chordata; Actinopteri; Blenniiformes; Blenniidae
Exons: 3
Source: RefSeq, a predicted model, not a curated record